ACAUCCUGGUGGAGCGCUCCAACCGCAGCAGAGCCAUCAACGUGCCUCCACGGGUGACCGUGCUCCCCAAGUCUCGGGUGGAGCUGGGCCAGCCCAACAUCCUCAUCUGCAUCGUGGACAACAUCUUCCCCCCUGUGAUCAAUAUCACCUGGCUACGCAACGGCCAAACUGUCACUGAGGGAGUGGCCCAGACCAGCUUCUAUUCCCAGCCUGACCAUUUGUUCCGCAAGUUCCACUACCUGCCCUUCGUGCCCUCAGCCGAGGACGUCUAUGACUGCCAGGUGGAGCACUGGGGCCUGGAUGCGCCACUCCUCAGGCAUUGGGGUACGGAGCCCCCUCCCCAUGCACCCUCCUGGCCCCAGGUUUCCUUUACUCUAGAAUCCUUUCAUAUACCACCGACUCCUUCCUUUCUCUCCUAGAGCUCCAGGUGCCUAUUCCACCACCAGAUGCCAUGGAGACCCUGGUCUGUGCCCUGGGCCUGGCCAUCGGCCUGGUGGGCUUCCUCGUGGGCACCGUCCUCAUCAUCAUGGGCACAUAUGUGUCCAGUGUCCCCAGGUAAUGAUCCUUCUGAGAGAAAUGACUUGUGGGAGACACCC
This 596-nucleotide long non-coding RNA is filed under the name Homo sapiens (human). RNAcentral describes it as "long non-coding RNA NONHSAT118529.2". Lineage: Eukaryota; Metazoa; Chordata; Mammalia; Primates; Hominidae. The record is from RNAcentral.